Molecule: ribosomal RNA, 410 nt
Filed under: uncultured bacterium
Lineage: Bacteria
Description: bacterial SSU rRNA
Rfam family: Bacterial small subunit ribosomal RNA
Source: RNAcentral
GAUGAACGCUAGCUACAGGCUUAACACAUGCAAGUCGCGGGGCAGCAUGUCGGUUGCUUGCAACCGAUGAUGGCGACCGGCGCACGGGUGAGUAACGCGUAUCCAACCUGCCCUUCACCACGGAAUAAUCCAGUGAAAAUUGGUCUAAUACCGUAUGAGGUCAUACGAUGGCAUCAGAAUAUGACGAAAGGUUUAGCGGUGAAGGAUGGGGAUGCGUCUGAUUAGCUUGUUGGUGGGGUAACGGCUCACCAAGGCGACGAUCAGUAGCCGGUCUGAGAGGAUGAACGGCCACAUUGGAACUGAGACACGGUCCAGACUCCUACGGGAGGCAGCAGUGGGGAAUCUUCCGCAAUGGACGAAAGUCUGACGGAGCAACGCCGCGUGAACGAUGACGGCCUCGGUUGUAAGUU